Molecule: ribosomal RNA, 259 nt
Filed under: uncultured bacterium
Lineage: Bacteria
Description: partial 16S ribosomal RNA
Rfam family: Bacterial small subunit ribosomal RNA
Source: RNAcentral
UACGUAGGGUCCGAGCGUUGUCCGGAAUUACUGGGCGUAAAGAGCUCGUAGGUGGUUUGUCGCGUUGUUCGUGAAAAACUCACAGCUUAACUGUGGGCGUGCGGGCGAUACGGGCAGACUAGAGUGUGGUAGGGGAGACUGGAAUUCCUGGUGUAGCGGUGAAAUGCGCAGAUAUCAGGAGGAACACCGAUGGCGAAGGCAGGUCUCUGGGCCACUACUGACGCUGAGAAGCGAAAAGCAUGGGGGGAGCGAAACAGGG